GGGGUAAAAAGAAAGAAGUGAAGAAAGAGACUGGACUUGGUCUUUCCUACAAGAAGGAUGAAAAUUUUGGAGAGUGGUACUCUGAGGUACUUCUUACAUUUUUCUUUAGAAUUCCCUUUUUAAGGUAUUUAUAAACAUCACACACUAUUUAACUCUUAUUCUACAUAGGAAUCAUCUGGUUGGGGGUUGGGAAAUUACUUUAUGCAAGUUCUACAUGAUAAAUCUUCAACUUGUCAGCAAAUUCAUUAUUUUGAUUUAAACUUUCUUGCACGUUUCUCAUAAUAGCACUUCCAGAGUUACUUGCCAAUAUUCUCUUCUUACUGUUAGACAUUAAAUUGCUUUUAAAUUGAGACUCUGGUGGUGUCCAGAAUAAUUAAUUAAUCUAUACUUUUAUCAAAGGUCUACGAUUAUGUCCUGGUGUUGAAGUUAUGUGUUCAUAACUGUGCCCAAGUUAAGGCACCCUUUUCUUUGUCUUAUUGCAAUAGUUGAUUUAGGAUUUCUAUUCUUUUAUUUUCAUUACCGUAGGACUAGUUUCACAAAAGUAUGCUUUAAAUUUCAUUGUUCUUCUGGAAAAGCAAGAUUAUGUGCAGUUAGUGAAUUUGUAUGCUUAAAACAGUUUUAUGAUUUUUUUUCUUUUAAUACUUUUGGCUUUCUGUAUUUAUAGAACAAAUCUCAGCUCUCUUGUAGAGAAUCACAUUUUCUUGAGUAAAUAAAAUAAGAAUUUACUGGAAUAAAUUUUUAUUUUUACUUAAGUAUGUGUUAUUAUAUUGCAUAUAUUAUCAUGAGCAGUAUAAUAUGUGAUAUGGUGUUAUGAUAAGUAUAAUGAUUAAUAUUUAUCAUACUUAAUAAAUUGUGAGAAGCAAUUUAUGAUGAAAAAGAAAUCAAAUUAUUAAAAUAUUUGAUUUGAUUUAUUGAAUUGCUUAUACAAAAUUAUUUGCGGUAAACAAAAUAUGGGAACAAGACGUGAUAAAUAUAUUUAAUUAUAUUUGUUACGUGAAUGUGUGGGAAAGUUAAUUAAAAAUACAUUUGAUGUAUUUUUGUGAGUAUUAAAGUAAUUUAUGAUAAAUAAAUCACUUAUAAUUUAGCAACUCUGAAGAUUUAAGGAGUUGGGUUUACACUCGGGUAAGAGCUGGAUUGUGACUGAUUAGAUAUGGAAGAGUAGCUGUGAAGAGCUGAAAAUAAGAAGACUGAAAAAAAGAAGAAGAAAACUUAGCAGAUUGAACUAAGCAAUAGAAAGGUAAUGCAUCUUUGCUAGUAUUUACUCUAAAAUGUUAAACAUGAAGUAAAUAGUGGUUAUGGGAUUUGCUAUGGGUUUGAUUAAGAAUAUGUGCUACCGAUUAUAUGAUGCAGUGUAAAUACUUGAGGAUAGUAUGCUUAGCAGUGGGGUUUUUCUAUUUAGUAUAGUUAUGUGUUUAUCAAUGGAAUUGAAUUAAAAAGGAAGUAAACUAGUUAGUUUACUAAUUACUUUAUUGUGUUUAAAUUUGAUUAUGUGUUUGACUGUUAUGUGGCUGGAAUUUUGAAUAGAGGAGAUAGGUUGACUGUGAGGAGCAAUAAGGUGGGAAAUAUGAGGCUAGAAUGCAAAUCAAUGGCCAUGAAAAGAGAAUUUUAAAACUAUGCACUCCAAGUGCUUGACAAAAGUCCUUAAUGGACUGUUUUUGUCUAAAACCAAAAAUUUGUUAGAAGUAAAGUUCGGGCUUGAAUUAUACAACAUAUAUGAUGCUAAUUAGGGUAUUUGAAGGUACUAAAUUAGAGCGAAAAGCAGUUUAAGCCAAAAUGAAAGUAAGAAAAACUUAGUGCGAUAGGCCAUGUAUGAACACUGUUUUGAGCUGCAUAUCAAAUCUGAAAUGGAAAGGUUAUGACCUCUAAAACGCAUUCUCAUAUGGUAUGUAUAACAUACUUAAGGUUUGUUUUAAUUUGGUAGAUGAGUUUAAAGUUAUAAGGCCACAAAUUAGGCAUGUUGGAGCAGGGCUGCUGCCUAUGGCAGCAGCAGUGGUGAUGCUUGGCAAGGGCUGGGGCCUCCCUUGGGCGCUCAAUCAAAACACUUGAAAUAUAAAGGGUGGAUAUAUCACCUAUUUAGUAGCUAAAGUUCAACAUGAAUAAAUCAAAGCCGCGAGAAAUGAAAAGCUAACAUAUUAAAAAAUAAAUAAAAAUGGACUGCUGCCCAUUAACAGCAGCAGUCAGCCACAAGGAGCAUCAUUUUCAAGCAAGGUGAGGGUGCAGCUGCUGCCUAAUGGCAGCAGCAGUUAGCAAGAAGUGGGAGCUGUUGUGUGCAACAGAUGCUAGCCAUGUCGGUUUAUUGGCAUAGUUUAAAAGCUUACCCUUUAGCCCAGUCUUUGACUUCUAAGUGACCAAGUGCAUAGUAUUUAUAUAACAAAUCCUUGGUUCAGCUAGAUGAUUAAAAUAAAAAGUAGAAUUGGCAGGGGUGCUGCCUUUGGGCAGCAGCAGUUGGCAUGAAAAUGACUGCUAAAGUAGUUUUGGGAAACUAUUAUGGUUAGACAAUAAUAAAACUAAUCAUCAAGAAUGAUUAUAAUUCAUUUUGUAAUAAAGUAAUUAGAAUCCAUAACAAAUCUACUAUCUAGCAUGUUUGGAGUAAUCAAUUGGAAGUUAUAAAAACUAAACAAAGCUAUAAUAGAGAGUUGUUUUGAAUAAAUCAAAUCAAUAGCGUAAAUUGCAACUCAAGGUAAGCGAACUAGUAAUUUGUAUGCUGAAAUAAAUGAAAUGAUGGUCUAGAGCCAAGGGGGCUGUUAGGCUAUAUAUGGGGCCACGGGGCUUUGUAUGGCCAUUCCAAGCUUGGCUAAGCCCCCACAUGGCUAAACAAAACUUGAUUGUCACACAAUGGGGAAGGAGAAAACAAGAGUAUUUAACACUUUUGUAUACUAGAACAAAGUUACAAAGCGUUAUGAGAGCUACAAAUUUCUCAACCAAGUUGUGAAUACACCCAAAACAUGUAAUUCACUAAAAAAUGAAUUAUAAUAGCGGUUGACAUAAUUAAACCUUUAAUUUGGAACUACUAAACCAAGUUUAAGCUGUUAGUAUCACAAAGAGUUACUAUUACUACAAAAGAGCUAUCUUGCCAUAACUUAGAAAAGAAAUAUGAACUAAAAUCUUAUAAUCAUGAACUGGAAUUAUGUCACAUCUAUGUUUCAAAACUCAGCUAAAUUAUCAUGCUUGAACAUUCUGUGUUUGCAUCAUCGACACCUAUGGCUGGCUAACUUUCAUUCAUAAGUCUUUAGAAACGGGACUGCUUGGAGUUUUUUUUUACUUUUAAGUCUUCAUGUCAUAAACACAAGUCAUUAACCUAACCACCAAUUCAAAGGUGAAGUUUGAGAUUGAAUAAAAAUAAUGUAAUUCUCUUACUUCACUUGAGGGAUUUUUCUUCUCCUUUUUCUCACAAGUUAUUUUACAAUAGAUUUUCUUGUAUAUACUCAGUUUUGAACAACAUAGAUAAAUAUAGAACUUACAAAAGUUUUGUGCCAACAGCUAUACUAUUUUUGGACUGUCAGACUAGUAGAUUUUCAUUUUUAAAUUUAUUGCAAAAUAUUUUUGAGCAAGCUCUGAGUAGCACUUGAAUUAAAUGCAGUGAUAAUUAAUGUUGAACUUUUCAUAUCUAUUUUGCUAGUCUUUCUGAAAGACUUGCCAUUGUGCUUGCCCUUGUGGUGGCUCCAUGAUUUGCAAGCUUUGCCUGAGUAUGUCCGCCUCCCUCUCCAUCCUCCAUUUCUUUCUUUAUAUACAUUUCUUUUUUAGUUAUUUGACUGAUUUAUGUCUAUAUAUUUUUUGAUUUGCAGAUAAAGUUCUUUUGAAAGGUCAAUAACGACAAGGUUGAAGGUUUUAAUUAAGCAUUUUUUUAGGAUAUGAAUUUCAGAAUUUUAGCUUUUUGGAUUAUAUAAUUUGGUUUUGUGGUACUUAGAUUAUUUAAGCAACUGUUUAUUGUCUAGUUAAUUGGGUAUUUUGUUGAAUCAGUAAAUCUACUAUUUUUUUAUAAGAUAAUUAUUUUUUA
RNAcentral lists this long non-coding RNA (3997 nucleotides) under Panax ginseng (ginseng). RNAcentral's name for it is "long non-coding RNA (PGIN_LNC006879)". Lineage: Eukaryota; Viridiplantae; Streptophyta; Magnoliopsida; Apiales; Araliaceae. The record is from RNAcentral.